UCACAUGUGUUGCCAAUGUACGUGCUAACAAGUCACAUGUUGUGGGUCGCCCAUCCAUUUUUUGGGGAAAAAUUUAAAGAAGAUUCAGUAAUUGCACUGCAUCCAAUCUGAUGGCGUUGUGCCUUUCUGGCUAUUAGCCAUAGCUAAGCAGUAGCCGCCAUUCAUAUCAAAAUCCCUUUCACUAAUAAAGGAUGGUCCAAAAGACAACCGCUUGGAGCAAAUCUGGUCGCCAAUAGCCAUCAGAGUUCACCAGCCGCUGCAGUACCGCUCAAAGCAACAAUUAUUCAUGCGC
RNAcentral lists this long non-coding RNA (292 nucleotides) under Elaeis guineensis (African oil palm). RNAcentral describes it as "long non-coding RNA (EGUI_LNC028663)". Lineage: Eukaryota; Viridiplantae; Streptophyta; Magnoliopsida; Arecales; Arecaceae. The record is from RNAcentral.